UGUCAGACUUCUGUAAACUAAAGCUGGGCUGCUGUGGUUGCUUCAUAAGAACUUGUGUUUGUUGCUCUGAUGUGAGAAUUGAGAAUGUUCUGUGGUGCAAAACCAACAUUACUUUUGAGUGAGGAAUGAUGCCCGAUUUAGAGAAAUUCACAGGCUCUGUUUUUACCUCAAUUGAUUUUUCAUUUAAUGAAAAUCAUGACAAUGUGCUAGAUGCACCUAAAUAAUAAUCUCACGAAUAAAAAUGUUCAUUUUUACUGGCAACAUUCUUGAUGAGACUUCUUUUUGAGAUAUCUCAGCUCCAGUGUAAAAAAAAAUCAGUUUCUUCUAUACCUACACUGUCACUUGUGUUUGUGGAGAGCUAGGGUAAUGCAGGAGGGAAUCUUCCCCAACAACUCACAGCUGUACUGGUUACCAAAGAAGAAACAUCUGUGCCUGGCCAGUCAGUUUGUCAGGCUAUAAAGGAGCAGGCCAGCUUCCCAAGAGUCAGAGGCACUUGCAGUUGGAAUGCAGAGGGUUCAGAAGGCAGCUGGGUGUGCUGAGAGGAGCCAAGGGCUGGAUAAGAUGCUGUUCAGAUACUGCUUUGGACAACAGUGCUCAAGAGGAAGAUCCAUAUUUAGGGAUGCAUUUUCAGUCAAUUCUGCUUAAAUGGAGUAGGUGCUUCAACACGAGAUCUUCCUGGAUCUUCCAGAGAAUGAGCAGAAUUAUGUAAAGCUUCAGUUCUUCUAUCAAGUAGUACUUGUGACAAUAUCAACCGAUUACUCAUCUGGAGUGUUGUCUACAGAUUCCGUGGCCCAGCUAGAAAACCUGCUUUAUAGACCAAUGAUGAAAUGGUUGAAUGCACCCAAAUAACCUAAGACCCUACCUGAAAAAGAAAUAAAAAAUAAUUAGGAUUCUAAAUGUAAUUGAAAAUAUUUCUGCCUUCUUUUGCUUUAUUUGCUCUGCUAGAUUUAAAUCCAGGGAUUUAAAAUAUGCAUGUUUUCCAUAUUGUCUCACUAUACCCUGGAGAUGCUCUGUGUAAGCUGUUUUUAAUUAGAUUUGUGGUUAAAAGAAACUGCCUUUGUACUAGUUGAGCAACUGAUGUGUUGAAUAAUUUUAAUGGCACUCUUUCUAUUCUGUGUGUGUGAUCAUUUACAAUUUUUUUCCACCCUAUAAAAAGACAACCAAAAUUAGCUUCAAUUAAUAGAGGUGUGAUACUGGUGUGAUUCUGAUCUCACACAUUGUAGAUGGGAAUCAGCUAGUGAAGAAACACCUGAAAAGUGAAUUAACUUAAGAUUUUUAAUUUACCUAAAAUUUAGGAUCGCUUCCUAAAUUAUUUUCCUUUUGGUUAUAAAUAAUUUUCCUUUUGGUUAAACCCUUCAGAUGUGGGCAGUUCAGCACACAGAUAUGUUUUUCCAUUUGCACAGUAUACCUUUCCCAGAGGAAAGUUUGGCAGUAUCUUGCUGGGCUGCUAGUGUUUUGGCCAAUCCUGGCUUUGGACCAUGAUCUGGUAUCUCAUUUUGGAUCUGUGUAAUGUGAUGAUAAAAGAGAGGAAUUCUUAGCCUUGGCCUAAUGCACUCUGUUUGUUUAAUGAUGUGAUAGAGUAAUGUCAUGUCCAUAUUGAAGCUAGUCAGUGAUGACUUCAUUUGAGAUGGGACCAGCCUUAGGCUACAAAAGAAGGCCAGCCAGAUAUUUUGGAGUUUUUUAAUAGAUCACAAGAUUUUUGAAGGUAUCUUUAGCACCCAGAUGCAGUGAAGGACUUUUCUUCCUAACCUCUGUUCUAUGUCUGACUAUAUGACAUUAAAAACCAAAAAAUCCCACACUCCUCCUUGCCCCAAGUUAAUUCUCCAGGCUGGAUAUUUAGAAAUUGGGAAUCUGUACUAAAUUUGGAAACAAGGUAUUUUGAGUGUAGAAAGACAUAGUUUUUCAAUAACUGAUGAAAAUCAAAAGCUAGAAUAUCCUACUACUUACUAGUGAGAAACUGGAGAUGUAGUUUUUUGAAAGAAUUUUUAAAUAGGGACUGGAAUUUAGUACAAAAAUAAAAAAAGAAAGAUUAAUCACAGAAUGUUUUUUUUUUCUCUUUCCCAAACUAAAUCCUGAUGACUCAUUUCAUUAACUUUUUUUUGGGAAAAGCUAGCUGUUAAUUUUUGCCACUGUAAGGAAUAGUAGACUGGUAUGAAAUAAGAUAUUUGUAUUAUAGAUGAAGACCAUAGAAAUGGUGCAGUAUAAUGACAGGUGCAUCAACUUGAGCUGAAGACAGUGUGAAUCUUUGUGUCUGUUUCCAUGCUCAUGAAAAGGAUGUAUUUUUGGGACUUUUCAAGAAUUUUAGUGUCUCUCUCCCCUUUGCCAGUAGUGAUAUCUUGCCUGCAAUAACAAGGUGAAAAUACACCUGUGAUUUUUGCUUCUUUUUUUCUACUGGUUAUUGUGUGACAUUUGCAAGCUCAGCAAGUCAUGUGUUUUCAAAAUAAUAGAUUUGUAUGGUAUUUUAAAAGGAGCAAUGGCUUCAGUCUGAUUUGGAGUGGGUGACCAUGAGACUGAAAGAAGAAUUUUUUUUUUCUAUAAAAAACUACCAUACCGUAGAUGACUUUCAAUCAAUCAAACUAACCUAUUAAACAAAUUUGCUGACACAGGUGGUAACUGGUUUCUGCCAAACAUCCACAGAGAAAGUGACUUCUGUCAUCACAACAUGACACAGAAUAGACUGCCUUGUGCAUUUCCUUUGUGAAGGAGUCAGGCGAAUAUCUUUGUAAUGCUGUUGAAGAAGAGAUUACAUCUCCUCACCUGAAUUGGUAGCUGUCAUAAGGUUUUCCAAAAACUAUAACAUAAAUCUUAGUUUUUGAUGAUUUCUGAGAUUGAAUUCAGUUGAGCUGAAGCCUUUAUUGCAUUGAAUCGCAAUGAGAGUCAAGGACCAACGGA
Ficedula albicollis (Collared flycatcher) is the source of this 2892-nucleotide long non-coding RNA. The record is from Ensembl. NCBI's taxonomy places the organism in Eukaryota, Metazoa, Chordata, Aves, Passeriformes, Muscicapidae.